GAUGAACGCUAGCUACAGGCUUAACACAUGCAAGUCGAGGGGCAGCAUGACGAUAGCUUGCUAUUGUCGAUGGCGACCGGCGCACGGGUGAGUAACGCGUAUCCAACCUUCCCGUUGCUAGGGGAUAACCUUGCGAAAGUAAGACUAAUACCCUAUGAUGUUCUUCGCAGACAUCUAAAGAGAACCAAAGAUUUAUCGGCAACGGAUGGGGAUGCGUCUGAUUAGGUUGUUGGCGGGGUAACGGCCCACCAAGCCCACGAUCAGUAGGGGUUCUGAGAGGAAGGUCCCCCACAUUGGAACUGAGACACGGUCCAAACUCCUACGGGAGGCAGCAGUGAGGAAUAUUGGUCAAUGGGCGCAAGCCUGAGCCAGCCAAGUAGCGUGAGGGAAGACUGCCCUACGGGUUGUAAAACCUCUUUUGUUUGGGAAUAAAGUGCGGGACGCGUCCCGCAUUGCAUGUACCAUUUGAAUAAGGACCGGCUAAUUCCGUG
Molecule: ribosomal RNA, 491 nt
Filed under: uncultured bacterium
Lineage: Bacteria
Description: bacterial SSU rRNA
Rfam family: Bacterial small subunit ribosomal RNA
Source: RNAcentral